GAGGACAUGACACAAAACCGAGCGCAAUGGCGUUCUAGGAUUCAUAUAGCCGACCCCACUUAGUGGGAAAAGGCUUUGUUGUUGUUGUUGUUGUUGUUGUUGUUGUUGUGAUCUUAACAUUACACCCACUUCAUUAGAUCGCUGUGAUGCGCAACCAGAUUUUGAGAACAACCAAUUUUUAGAAGAUGGUUUAGAUCGAUGUUGGUGGAAAAUGGAGGCUCUUUCUUUGAUGUUUUCAGAGCAAAUAAUCCUGAUAGGUAAAGCAUACACAUGCUGGUCACAAAGUACAGGUGCUGAAGAGUUUAAUUAUGGCUCUAGAAUCGAUCACAUUCUUUGUGCAGGGGCAUGCUUACACCAAGAGCAGGACUUGCAAAGUCAUAAUUUUGUAACAUGCCAUGUCAAGGAGUUUGACAUAUUGACACAAUUUAAAUGGUGGAAAACUAGGGAAUUCACUAAGGUGGAAGGGAGGGCAGAACAUGAAACUCGAAGGCUCCGAUCAUGCGCCAGUUUAGACAAGUUUACUGGAAAUUCUUAGUGUUUCCCAGCAUAGUACCCCAUCUUUGUCUGUUAGAUACAUUCCAAUGGUUGGUGGCCUCCAACAAACCCAUGUAUAUUUGCUAAUGAAAAGACAAGCUGCGGAACAAGUUUAUCCGGACAGAAAUAUGAUUCAAGAGAGUUUCGGUGAGGGAGAAAAAUGUUCGCCUGACCAAUGUUGCACACCCGGUGCACCCAGCAGCAACUCCUGUUCUUUGAGCCAAAACUCCCAAGUGAUCAGUUCAAAAACAAAUGAGCAUUCAAGCGCUUUUGCUAUUGAGGCUACUUGUAACACCUUGGUAACUUUAGGUGGUGAACGUACAAAAACAAUGUGCGGCAGUGAAGCUAGGAAAAAAUCAAAAAGGAGUUCCCAACUCUCUUUGAGGUCAUUUUUUCAGAAAAGUUCUAUCAGUAGCAACAGUGUGAGCAUUAAUACUGAUAUUUCUACUAGUCAGAGAAAUGUUCCAGAUUCUAAUCAUCUCUCAAAUGAAACUCCAAUACCAGAAAGUCAAAGCCGCAGUCCCAAGCAGUAUGAACUGAACUCUAGUGUAUCAAAUCAAGAUCAGGAUGAAGUAGAUGCCUGCUCCUUGGACAAAGAGAAUAAUAAUUUUGCGUUAUUGGAGUGGCAAAGGUUACAGCAAGUCAUGCAGAAUAGCAUACCAGUUUGCAAGCACCAUAGUGAACCUUGUGUUGCUCGGGUUGUGAGCAAGCGAGUUCCUAAUUUUGGACGCAGAUUCUAUGUCUGUGCGCGUGCUGAGGUAUGUUUUUGUUAACUUUAAUACUGCUGGAAAUUUGUUAAAGUUUCUAAUAUACGAUAUUGGAGUAAGAGUAAAACAGAAAGAAAAUGAAAUAAUACUCUUGCAUGUAAAUAAGGAAAGCGAAGUUUAAGCAUGAUUCAGUAUUGUGAUGUCUGAUGAAAUUAUGAAUUCAAGUAUAUGACAGUGAAGUGUGGACGAAGGACAAGUAUCUAUAAAUGAAUUGCUCCUUUCUUUGAUUCUUUCCAUUAUUUUGUACAUCUCAGAUUCAAUUGAUUUUAUAAAAGCAGAAAACAUCUGAUAAAUUUUUUGUAGUUCCAUCCAUCUUGUAACUAGUUUCACUUCGGUACUUAGAGCCUAGAACUUGGGAUGAACAAGUCCUCCGGCUGCGCAGUCUGUUUUACCCCAUUUUGCCAUUAAAGAAUUUGGGCAUCUGACAAUUGCAAGCUUUAUACAGAACUACAGAUAUUGUGGAGUUUAUAUGUACUCGAGCUAAGUUUGCUGUUGACUACUCGGACCUGCAUCUAAUCCAGAAGCAAAUUGUAGGUAUUUCUAAUGGGCUUCUUUGAAACCUCGAGAGAAAUGACGGUGGUGAUCAGUGAUGCCAGUGAAUUGAUCGCCUUGCUACACGAAAGAAAUAUGUUUCCAGAAUAUCAGGAUCUUUAGUUUUAGGCGUACGUGACGUGUGCCGUCCAUAUAUAUAUAUAUGAGAAGUUAAGGUGAAGAAGGUAGCUAGCAUCUUUCGAAAGAGAAAUUAUACGUUUCCUCGGUAUGUCAUUUAUCAACUCGUUUAAGAAGAGUCAUACAGCACGCACCCAGAAGAAAAAAAUGUUCCAUGUAUUAAUUAAUGUAUUAUUCUUUCUUAUUCGUGGAUAACUUCCACAUAAAAAUACAAUCUUUGAUGUCACGAUCUUGUGUUUUUAUAAUCAAUUGGGAGCCGAAAUUUGAGUUUGAUGUUUCUUCCAACAUUUAGAAGAAAAGUAUCACUAGCUAGUAUUAAAUGUCCUAUCAACGUCGCGGACGAAUGGUCGCAACCGAUAACCCAACUAUUCAGUAAAAAAAUUGAAAGGUUAGUAAACUUCCUCCAUACAAAAUUGUUUGGGAUGGCAAAUCAACAAAGGCCAGCGAUCGUUAUCGAUCACAAAUUAUGGUAAAAGACAACCUUAGAAAUAAUAAUACGAUAAUGUCAAAACAC
This is a non-coding RNA of Malus domestica (apple), 2484 nucleotides long. NCBI's taxonomy places the organism in Eukaryota, Viridiplantae, Streptophyta, Magnoliopsida, Rosales, Rosaceae. The record is from RefSeq and is a predicted model, not a curated record.